GACGAACGCUGGCGGCGUGCUUAACACAUGCAAGUCGAGCGGUAAGGCCCUUUCGGGGGUACACGAGCGGCGAACGGGUGAGUAACACGUGGGUGACCUGCCCUUAGCUCUGGGAUAAGCCUGGGAAACUGGGUCUAAUACCGGAUAUGACUCCAUGACGCAUGUUGUGGGGUGGAAAGCCUUGUGCGGCUAGGGAUGGGCCCGCGGCCUAUCAGCUUGUUGGUGGGGUGAUGGCCACCAAGGCGACGACGGGUAGCCGGCCUGAGAGGGCGACCGGCCACACUGGGACUGAGACACGGCCCAGACUCCUACGGGAGGCAGCAGUGGGGAAUCUUGCGCAAUGCGCGAAAGCGUGACGCAGCAACGCCGCGUGGGGGAAGAC
RNAcentral lists this ribosomal RNA (382 nucleotides) under uncultured bacterium. RNAcentral describes it as "bacterial SSU rRNA". It matches the Rfam family "Bacterial small subunit ribosomal RNA", at positions 28 to 412 of the family's 1533-position model. The record is from RNAcentral.